GGGAAUCGGGGUUUUGGGGGGUUUCCUUUUUGCUGCUGUUUCAUCCCUUAUCCACCAGAUGGCGUCUACAGGCGGAGGUUUCUCUGGAGGGAUGGGCCUUGGUUCAGCGCACCGGUGUUUAAUCACCUCUUCAGUCAUGGAGCUUAAGAGGAGCGGACUACCAGUACUUCGUCGCUUGAGUGUUAGCCUAUAUGCUAUUCCUUCGUGACGCCAAGCGGCCUCCUUGAAGAAUCCUUCCUGGUUUGACUCACCUCGAGACACCACCUACCCACGGGUUGCCCGAGCCCCGUUUCCGUUCCUUCGGCCGGAUCUCAAAGCCUCUUCCGGAUUAUUCGGCGGAUUGUGGAUCCGCUCCUCGUCUGUCCUCCACCACAGAAAACACUGGCCCGCUCUCUGCCGCAGCCUCCUCCGAUCCUCCUGGAUGCCACUCGAACAUACUGUAAGCCAAGACCCGGUAUCCACCGGAGUGCCUCCAGGACUGUCAUCAUCAUUUUCCCAAUGUGCCGGCCUCCCCCAGAAGCCCUCCCCUGACAGUUCGUCGUUCUACCCACCGAAUCUGUGUUUACAUUAAUAAACUAUAUUUUGCUGA
This is a long non-coding RNA of Xiphophorus hellerii (green swordtail), 589 nucleotides long. RefSeq lists it as uncharacterized. The transcript is spliced from 3 exons. NCBI's taxonomy places the organism in Eukaryota, Metazoa, Chordata, Actinopteri, Cyprinodontiformes, Poeciliidae. The record is from RefSeq and is a predicted model, not a curated record.